CUCCAGACUCCUACGGGAGGCAGCAGUGGGGAAUAUUGCGCAAUGGGGGAAACCCUGACGCAGCAACGCCGCGUGAGUGAAGAAGUAUCUCGGUAUGUAAAGCUCUAUCAGCGGGGAAGAAGGAAGACGGUACCCGACUAAGAAGCCCCGGCUAACUACGUGCCAGCAGCCGCGGUAAUACGUAGGGGGCGAGCGUUAUCCGGAUUUACUGGGUGUAAAGGGAGCGUAGACGGCCAUGCAAGCCAGGGGUGAAAGCCCGGGGCCCAACCCCGGGACUGCCCUUGGAACUGCAUGGCUGGAGUGCGGGAGGGGCAGGCGGAAUUCCUGGUGUAGCGGUGAAAUGCGUAGAUAUCAGGAGGAACACCGGCGGCGAAGGCGGCCUGCUGGACCGCGACUGACGUUGAGGCUCGAAAGCGUGGGGAGCAAACAGGAUUAGAUACCCUUGUA
Molecule: ribosomal RNA, 447 nt
Filed under: uncultured bacterium
Lineage: Bacteria
Description: bacterial SSU rRNA
Rfam family: Bacterial small subunit ribosomal RNA
Source: RNAcentral